CUUACACAUGCAGUCGAACGAUGAUCUCCAGCUUGCUGGGGGGAUUAGUGGCGAACGGGUGAGUAACACGUGAGUAACCUGCCCUUGACUCUGGGAUAAGCCUGGGAAACUGGGUCUAAUACCGGAUAUGACCAUUCCGCGCAUGCGGUGGUGGUGGAAAGCUUUUGCGGUUUUGGAUGGACUCGCGGCCUAUCAGCUUGUUGGUGGGGUAAUGGCCUACCAAGGCGACGACGGGUAGCCGGCCUGAGAGGGUGACCGGCCACACUGGGACUGAGACACGGCCCAGACUCCUACGGGAGGCAGCAGUGGGGAAUAUUGCACAAUGGGCGCAAGCCUGAUGCAGCGACGCCGCGUGAGGGAUGACGGCCUUCGGGUUGUAAACCUCUUUCAGUAGGGAAGAAGCGAAAGUGACGGUACCUGCAGAAGAAGCGCCGGCUAACUACGUGCCAGCAGCCGCGGUAAUACGUAGGGCGCAAGCGUUAUCCGGAAUUAUUGGGCGUAAAGAGCUCGUAGGCGGUUUGUCGCGUCUGCUGUGAAAGACCGGGGCUCAACUCCGGUUCUGCAGUGGGUACGGGCAGACUAGAGUGAUGUAGGGGAGACUGGAAUUCCUGGUGUAGCGGUGAAAUGCGCAGAUAUCAGGAGGAACACCGAUGGCGAAGGCAGGUCUCUGGGCAUUAACUGACGCUGAGGAGCGAAAGCAUGGGGAGCGAACAGGAUUAGAUACCCUGGUAGUCCAUGCCGUAAACGUUGGGCACUAGGUGUGGGGGACAUUCCACGUUUUCCGCGCCGUAGCUAACGCAUUAAGUGCCCCGCCUGGGGAGUACGGCCGCAAGGCUAAAACUCAAGGAA
Molecule: ribosomal RNA, 849 nt
Filed under: Arthrobacter sp. NAR7(8)
Lineage: Bacteria; Bacillati; Actinomycetota; Actinomycetes; Micrococcales; Micrococcaceae
Description: bacterial SSU rRNA
Rfam family: Bacterial small subunit ribosomal RNA
Source: RNAcentral